Molecule: ribosomal RNA, 495 nt
Filed under: uncultured bacterium
Lineage: Bacteria
Description: partial 16S ribosomal RNA
Rfam family: Bacterial small subunit ribosomal RNA
Source: RNAcentral
UGAACGCUGGCGGCGUGCCUAAUACAUGCAAGUCGAGCGAACAGACGAGGAGCUUGCUCCUCUGACGUUAGCGGCGGACGGGUGAGUAACACGUGGAUAACCUACCUAUAAGACUGGGAUAACUUCGGGAAACCGGAGCUAAUACCGGAUAAUAUAUUGAACCGCAUGGUUCAAUAGUGAAAGACGGUUUUGCUGUCACUUAUAGAUGGAUCCGCGCCGCAUUAGCUAGUUGGUAAGGUAACGGCUUACCAAGGCAACGAUGCGUAGCCGACCUGAGAGGGUGAUCGGCCACACUGGAACUGAGACACGGUCCAGACUCCUACGGGAGGCAGCAGUAGGGAAUCUUCCGCAAUGGGCGAAAGCCUGACGGAGCAACGCCGAGUGAGUGAUGAAGGUCUUCGGAUCGUAAAACUCUGUUAUUAGGGAAGAACAAAUGUGUAAGUAACUAUGCACGUCUUGACGGUACCUAAUCAGAAAGCCACGGCUAACUACGUG